ACAGUUAUCACAAAUCAAGAAAAUAUCCCUCAUCCCCAGAAUGUUUAUGGUAAUGGAAAAAUUUUCUCGGUAGUUCCUGCAAUUGCCCAUUACAUCAUCUCUCGAACCCAGAAAUAUAUCCACCAUCUCCGGAAUUUUCUCGGUUAUCUGGGAAACUUUCCUCAUAGUUUUCAGGAAAAUGUGCCUCUCUGAAAGUCAUUUACCUAAGCCGUAAGUUUCCUGCAAAAUCAUGCUUUGGGAAUUAAUUUUAGAUAAAAUGUCAAUUACGGCUUUCAGAAAGUUCGGGGUUUCAAGGAUUCCGGCUAACGGAGAAGGCUGCUGUUCCUACCAGAAAUCAGUUUCAAAUGCGAAUUGAUCCUGUAACACUUGGACCUCAUUUUCCAGUUACCCUGCAAUGGAUCUUGUUGUAGCUUAUCUGCAUGAUCGAGCUUUACGACGUGAACGAAGGUAUCGGGACCCUUUGGAUCCCAUAAAUAUAAGCGAUGAAAAUCUAAUUAGAUAUAGGUUUCCUCGAUGUGAAAUUCUAAGACUGUGUGAAGAGUUAGAUCCAUUUUUAAGGCGUAGAACGAGAAGAUCUCAUGCUGAUUCCAUACACACGCAAGUGUUAGUUGCCUUAAGAUUUUAUGCCAGUGGAACCUUUCAACAUGUAGUUGGUGAUACAGUUGGUCUUACCCAAGCUAGUGUCAGUAGAAUUAUUAGAGAUGUCACUUCAAUACGAUCCUUCCAAAUGUGGCAAAAUUGUAAAUGCAUGUUUCCUUCUUCACAAUUAUUGUGUAAUGAGAAGGGUACCACUUCCCCACGACAUGGUCGACGAUGAUGGAGAGAUUGACAAUCCAGCUGAAGCUGUAGCAGGGACAGGCCAAGCAGUCCGAGCCAAUAUAGUCCGUAAUUGGUUUACUUGAUGAAUUAAAAUCAAAUAUCAAUUCACCAA
RNAcentral lists this long non-coding RNA (931 nucleotides) under Homarus americanus (American lobster). RNAcentral's name for it is "uncharacterized LOC121866232". The record is from RNAcentral. Lineage: Eukaryota; Metazoa; Arthropoda; Malacostraca; Decapoda; Nephropidae.